CAAUCUGGAGAGCGACGCAAUGCGUCCACCGAAGGGGAACCGCCUGCAUGGCGGUUGAAACUCUCAGGUCACAGGACAGAUGG
RNAcentral lists this non-coding RNA (83 nucleotides) under Bordetella sp. Its description in RNAcentral is "Glycine sequence". It matches the Rfam family "Glycine riboswitch aptamer", at positions 7 to 88 of the family's 94-position model. Rfam says of the family: This family represents the bacterial glycine riboswitch. Glycine riboswitches usually consist of two metabolite-binding aptamers domains with similar structures in tandem. Lineage: Bacteria; Pseudomonadati; Pseudomonadota; Betaproteobacteria; Burkholderiales; Alcaligenaceae. The record is from RNAcentral. RNAcentral also lists the same sequence under 1 other name.